CCCCAUUGUCCUUUAUCUGUCACUGCCUUAUGUCCCAACACAGACCGUGGCACCCCUUUUAAAAAUCAGCCAGUGGUGUGCUAGUAAACGGGUUCGCUGAAUGAAAGCUCCCAUGUGUAGCGUUUGCUGAUUUCCGUGGUGUAAAUAUUGUCACCAUGGCUGACGGCAAGAUACCAGUGGUUUAACAGUUGGCUUGCAGACUUCCUGAGUGUUUAACAGCUGCUCUCACAAGCUGGUAGGAGCUGGCUCGAGCACAUCAUGAUCAUAAGAAAAUAACAACAUAUUUGUAGUACUGGGGUUAUUUUUCACUUGGCAAAAUAAUAUAAAGAUUUAAAGAAAAAAAUAUGCCUGUGGGUCAAAAAAACCCUUCACCCUGAACUGGGUUCCUCAUUACUUACUCCUUAUUCCCUUCUUCUCAACUGUGUUCCUCACACACUAGCCUGCAUCAGAAUUACCCAGAAGGCUUGUUAAAACACAGAUGACUGGGCCCCACCCCCAGAGUUUCUGGAUGCUCCGGGCUCAAGAAUUCGCAUCUUUAACAAGCUCCCAGGUGAUGCUGCUGUGGAUCCUGUGAUCCUGCUUUGAGAGCCACUGCCCUAGCAGGAUCACAUAUUUUGCUCAAAAUCUGCUUCCAGGUGCUGAGUGGAAGGGGUAACUGUCUGCAAGGACCUUCUCAUAAAUUUCGCUCAGAGAGGAGGCCUUCUGUGAAGUUGCCAUUAGACAUUGUCAUUCAUCUGUGGAGACUGAGGGCCAGAUAGUUUCAGGUGAGUGGAUCAGAAUGUAGUAAAGACUUUGAAGAUAAUUAGCAGUGUGAGGGCAAGGGUUGUGUUUAUUUUGUCUCCCUAUCUAUUCCCAUUAGACUUGGCACAUAGUAAGUGCUCAUAAAAAUAUUCGUGAAAUUAAAUUGGAAACCAGUUUGGUCCUUGUGCGACUUGAUUUGUAUAUUUUUAAAUACUAUUUCUUUUGUUUGAGUAAAAUUAAUACUUGCUGAUUACAAAGAGUUUAAGCAAUAAGGAAAGGAAGAGAAAACAAUCUAAAUCCCUCUACCUAAAAAUAAUCAAUAUUAACAUUAGUUGG
Molecule: long non-coding RNA, 1077 nt
Filed under: Sus scrofa (pig)
Lineage: Eukaryota; Metazoa; Chordata; Mammalia; Artiodactyla; Suidae
Description: lncRNA (ENSSSCG00035020607.1)
Source: RNAcentral